CAGGCCCCUGGAGGCAUUGCAAGUGUGCCUGCUGUGUCACACAUGUGUCGGUAGGUGGCAGAGAGGAGAGGGACUGUGUCUAUGCUCAGUGUCGCCUGUGAACCUCUGAAAGAUUCCCUGGCAUUCCCU
This is a small nucleolar RNA of Apodemus sylvaticus (European woodmouse), 129 nucleotides long. RefSeq annotates it as small nucleolar RNA SNORA17. The transcript has a single exon. The record is from RefSeq and is a predicted model, not a curated record. NCBI's taxonomy places the organism in Eukaryota, Metazoa, Chordata, Mammalia, Rodentia, Muridae.